GUUUGAAACCAUUCUUAACUGGAGUUAUCAGAAGCUGAGCAGCAGCAGCAGCAGCAGCAGCUUCAGGCAAAACUUGGGCCAGGCUGAGCAGGCCCAACCAUCCUUUGCUUCAUGAGUUCGACAAAGUAUUUGGAGCUUAUUGUUGCAAGAGAACAAAUAUUAAAUUUUACAGUGUAAUCUCCAAAUGAAAAGUCUGCAAACAAGCUGUAUGUUCUCCCACUAAUAAACCCUUAGGAGUAUAACUCGAAAUCAGUUACUAUCGUCAAAUCUAAACCAUCAUAUAACUAGCUUAUUUUCAUGGAGCAUAAUUGAGGAGCCAAGAUGCUGGAUGAGAAAGCAGGCAAUCAAAUGAAAGGAUUCUCAGGUCAAAACUUUCAUAGCACCAUCAAACAAUUAUUAAGAGAACAGAAAUUUCAUAAACUUAAAUAUGUUAAAAGAAAAUUACCACAGCAAGAUCUGCAGAACAGAAAUUUAGAAGUGGUUUAGUAUGUGCUUAGAGUUUAAUCAGAAAGGAAAUACUCUUCUCAUUAGUUAUCGAUUCCACUCACAUUUC
Sesamum indicum (sesame) is the source of this 553-nucleotide non-coding RNA. The record is from RefSeq and is a predicted model, not a curated record. Lineage: Eukaryota; Viridiplantae; Streptophyta; Magnoliopsida; Lamiales; Pedaliaceae.